RNAcentral lists this long non-coding RNA (724 nucleotides) under Vitis vinifera (wine grape). RNAcentral describes it as "long non-coding RNA (VVIN_LNC004654)". Lineage: Eukaryota; Viridiplantae; Streptophyta; Magnoliopsida; Vitales; Vitaceae. The record is from RNAcentral.
AAAAUGAAGGGAAAUAGAGAAUUCUAUAGAAAGAGAAAAUCUGGAAAGUUCUACAAUUAGAAAAUGUCUAAAAGUCCCCCAAAUGAGUAAAUCAAGUUUCUAUUUAUAGGUCAAGUUCAAGUGGACACUUGGCAUCAUCCAAGAGGUCUUUCAGAGGCUUCUUCACCAAGAAAUCUGGAAAAAUGCAAUUUCGCACAAGCUCCAACAAUUUCGCAUGAUUGUGCAAAGUGGAAAAUGCAUUAGCACCAAUUUCGCAUUCUUGGAGCAUUUCACAUGACUGUGCGAAAUUUUCGCAUGGUCAUGCAAAAUUAGUUUUUAGUUUUCCCUUUGAGUUGCAACCAAAAUUGCUUUUUGGUCCAUUUUGCAUAACUGUGCGAAAGUUUCGCAUGAUCAUACGAAAUGGAAAAACAUAGUUUUUCAACUCCUUUUUGUCAUUUCUCCCAUUUCUUUCUUUUGAAUCCACCUCAACCACCUUCAAUUCAGCUCCAAAUCUUGGUCCAAGCAUUGCUUCUUCCUCAUCAUCCAUAUUGUUUACCUUCCUCGAUUCCAUUUCUCUUUUGGCACUCAAUACUUCAAAAAUCACCUUGAAAUAUCUCCAAAACUUCACAAAAACCAUUAGUAUAUCUUGUAAGGGUAGCAAUGUAUUACUUGGGUAUAUUAGGCAUAAUUAUUGCUCAAAAUGUAUGAAACUCAUGAGAAUUAUUAUCUAAAAUGUGUGGUUUUU